ACUACCGCUCCCUAGCGGUAGUACCGCUCCGUCGGACUGUUUUUUGCAUCCUUUUUGGCCUCAGCAUGGUUGGUGAACCUACCGAGCGGUAGUACCGCUCUGUGUGGGCUGUGAGGCAUAACGGUUGGAUUUUUUCCCACCUAUAAAAGGGGGUCUUCUUCCCCAUUGAACCUUAUCUAUUUAGCUCGUGUUCUUCCCCCAUUGUUGACCUUCUUCGAGCUUGCUAACUCCCAAUCCCUCCAAUGAUUCUUGCUAGUUCUUGAGGGAAAAGAGAGAGGAGAUCUAGAUCCACAUUUCCACCAAUCACUUUCUCCUCUAAGUAAGGGGAACCCCUUGGGUCUAGAUCUUGGAGUUCUUCGUGUUCUUA
RNAcentral lists this long non-coding RNA (367 nucleotides) under Hordeum vulgare. RNAcentral describes it as "long non-coding RNA (HVUL_LNC016360)". Lineage: Eukaryota; Viridiplantae; Streptophyta; Magnoliopsida; Poales; Poaceae. The record is from RNAcentral.